RNAcentral lists this unclassified non-coding RNA (1043 nucleotides) under Hevea brasiliensis (rubber tree). The record is from RNAcentral. Lineage: Eukaryota; Viridiplantae; Streptophyta; Magnoliopsida; Malpighiales; Euphorbiaceae.
AAAUAAUUAAAAAUUAAAUUUGAUUAAUUUUAGUCAUAAGAACAAUAAAAUAACAAAAUAUUUUUUUUUCAACAUCAUUUAAAAUGGUGCUUUUAUCACCCUGAAUCUCAAUGCUGGAUGGGUUAUACAACAAGAAGAUGAUAUACCUGGGAAACUCCAUUAAGUUGUUAUUAAUAGCCUACAUGGAAUAUCUGUAAUAUUAUCAAAUACUGAGGGUAUUCUUAAUUUAUUCCUCCUUUUGCAUUCCAGUCUCAAAUUCUUUAAUAGUCACGCUUGAAAGUCAAAGUUUAUUGACCGAGAAAUCAGGUAUACAGUUUUGGCACAUGGACAGUCAGACAAUUGCAGAAGGGAAUGAGACCUAGAAAGAGAUAGCAGAUAUUGCUGUUGCUUAGCUUGAGAAUUAAUAUAUGCAUGAAAUUCUGUGUUCUGCAAGGUGCUAAAGUUUCAUUUUAUGCAAGGCCCCUAUCUAAGUCUUGGUGGUCUUGGGUUUGAGCUUUAGGCAAACCCAAGACACAUUGACAGUACCAUUGACAUACACCUGUGGGGAGAUGAUGCAACAAUUGUAUAAAUAUUUCUAUUUUAUGCACCUAAAAAUGCAAGUGUGAUUUGAUUCAACAAAUAUCCUGCUGAAGUAACCAAUUAGUUAAAUUCUUCUAAUAACAGAGACCAAGACAUGCUGGAGCACUCAUUUAGCAAUGCUAGCAAGACAUAGUUGUUGCCAUGUUAGCAAAUUAGGCAAUGUAUCUUUCUCUACUUCUUUGUAAUUUUUUCCUCUUCAAGAUCAGACAGGUGAAAAGUCUAAUUUUGAAACCGAAAAGUAAUUGGGAUAUGGCUUUCUUGAGCAGAGCAGAGUAGUUAUCAAACUUGAAAUUAUAUGGUAGUCAUUGUUCAUUACUUCUACUUUUGAGAGCAGAACUGUGUGGGGCAGCUAAGGUUCUAUGUAUGUGUGAUGGCCUGUUUGUCGGUAAUUUGUUUAAAGAGCAUGUACCUUUUAAUUAUUAGUUGGCCUCUGUUUAUAUUUUCUAGCAACUAAUUUUAUCUCU